Molecule: unclassified non-coding RNA, 109 nt
Filed under: Mycobacterium triplex
Lineage: Bacteria; Bacillati; Actinomycetota; Actinomycetes; Mycobacteriales; Mycobacteriaceae
Description: yybP-ykoY
Source: RNAcentral
ACCGUUAGCGAAGGGGAGUAGCCCCAAAUCGUCGUGUCGACAUACUGGCGAACAGCCCGGCCGGCGAACCGAUCCCGGCAGAUCGGUGGGCGAGACCUUCGACCGGUGU